This 771-nucleotide ribosomal RNA is filed under the name uncultured Pseudoalteromonas sp. RNAcentral's name for it is "bacterial SSU rRNA". It matches the Rfam family "Bacterial small subunit ribosomal RNA", at positions 56 to 831 of the family's 1533-position model. Lineage: Bacteria; Pseudomonadati; Pseudomonadota; Gammaproteobacteria; Alteromonadales; Pseudoalteromonadaceae. The record is from RNAcentral.
UGCAAGUCGAGCGGUAACAGAAAGUAGCUUGCUACUUUGCUGACGAGCGGCGGACGGGUGAGUAAUGCUUGGGAACAUGCCUUGAGGUGGGGGACAACAGUUGGAAACGACUGCUAAUACCGCAUAAUGUCUACGGACCAAAGGGGGCUUCGGCUCUCGCCUUUAGAUUGGCCCAAGUGGGAUUAGCUAGUUGGUGAGGUAAUGGCUCACCAAGGCAACGAUCCCUAGCUGGUUUGAGAGGAUGAUCAGCCACACUGGAACUGAGACACGGUCCAGACUCCUACGGGAGGCAGCAGUGGGGAAUAUUGCACAAUGGGCGAAAGCCUGAUGCAGCCAUGCCGCGUGUGUGAAGAAGGCCUUCGGGUUGUAAAGCACUUUCAGUCAGGAGGAAAGGGUGUGAGUUAAUACCUCACAUCUGUGACGUUACUGACAGAAGAAGCACCGGCUAACUCCGUGCCAGCAGCCGCGGUAAUACGGAGGGUGCGAGCGUUAAUCGGAAUUACUGGGCGUAAAGCGUACGCAGGCGGUUUGUUAAGCGAGAUGUGAAAGCCCCGGGCUCAACCUGGGAACUGCAUUUCGAACUGGCAAGCUAGAGUGUGAUAGAGGGUGGUAGAAUUUCAGGUGUAGCGGUGAAAUGCGUAGAGAUCUGAAGGAAUACCGAUGGCGAAGGCAGCCACCUGGGUCAACACUGACGCUCAUGUACGAAAGCGUGGGGAGCAAUGCAAGUCGAUGCAAGUCGAUGCAAGUCGAUGCAAGUCGAUGCAAGUCGAG